RNAcentral lists this ribosomal RNA (433 nucleotides) under uncultured bacterium. Its description in RNAcentral is "partial 16S ribosomal RNA". It matches the Rfam family "Bacterial small subunit ribosomal RNA", at positions 29 to 507 of the family's 1533-position model. The record is from RNAcentral.
AACGAACGCUGGCGGCAUGCCUAACACAUGCAAGUCGAACGAGACCUUCGGGUCUAGUGGCGCACGGGUGCGUAACGCGUGGGAACCUGCCCGUAGGUUCGGAAUAACUCCCCGAAAGGGGUGCUAAUACCGGUUAAUGUCUUCGGACCAAAGAUUUAUCGCCAUUGGAUGGGCCCGCGUUGGAUUAGCUAGUUGGUAGGGUAAAAGCCUACCAAGGCGACGAUCCCUGGCUGGUCUGGGAGGAGGCACAGCCACAAUGGGGCUGAGGCACGGCCCAGACUCCGACGGAGGGGAGGAGUAGGGAAUAUUGGGCAAUGGGGGAAAACCUGGUCCCGCAAUGCCGGGGGAGUGAUGAAGGCCUUAGGGUUGUGAAGCCCCUUUUCCCGGGGUGAUAAUGACAGUACCGGGAAAAUAAGCUCCGGCUAACUCCGUG